UGGGGAAUUUUGGACAAUGGGCGCAAGCCUGAUCCAGCAAUGCCGCGUGCAGGAUGAAGGCCUUCGGGUUGUAAACUGCUUUUGUACGGAACGAAACGGCUCUGUCUAAUACAUGGGGCUAAUGACGGUACCGUAAGAAUAAGCACCGGCUAACUACGUGCCAGCAGCCGCGGUAAUACGUAGGGUGCAAGCGUUAAUCGGAAUUACUGGGCGUAAAGCGUGCGCAGGCGGUGAUGUAAGACAGAUGUGAAAUCCCCGGGCUUAACCUGGGAAUUGCAUUUGUGACUGCAUCGCUGGAGUGCGGCAGAGGGGGAUGGAAUUCCGCGUGUAGCAGUGAAAUGCGUAGAUAUGCGGAGGAACACCGAUGGCGAAGGCAAUCCCCUGGGCCUGCACUGACGCUCAUGCACGAAAGCGUGGGGAGCAAACA
Molecule: ribosomal RNA, 427 nt
Filed under: uncultured bacterium
Lineage: Bacteria
Description: bacterial SSU rRNA
Rfam family: Bacterial small subunit ribosomal RNA
Source: RNAcentral